GACGUAGGGCGCGAGCGUUGUCCGGAUUUAUUGGGCGUAAAGAGCUCGUAGGCGGCUUGUCGCGUCGUCUGUGAAAUCCCGCGGCUCAACUGCGGGCUGGCAGUCGAUACGGGCAGGCUGGAGUUCGGUAGGGGAGACUGGAAUUCCUGGUGUAGCGGUGAAAUGCGCAGAUAUCAGGAGGAACACCGGUGGCGAAGGCGGGUCUCCGGGCCGAUACUGACGCUGAGGAGCGAAAGCGUGGGGAGCGAACAGG
RNAcentral lists this ribosomal RNA (253 nucleotides) under uncultured bacterium. Its description in RNAcentral is "partial 16S ribosomal RNA". It matches the Rfam family "Bacterial small subunit ribosomal RNA", at positions 524 to 776 of the family's 1533-position model. The record is from RNAcentral.